GAUUGAACAGCGGCGGCGCGCCCAUGGGCGCGGUGAGGAAAGUCCGGGCUUCACAGGGCAGGAUACCUGCUAACGGCAGGCCGAGGCGACUCGAGGGAAAGUGCAACAGAGAGAUACCGCCGCCGUAUCACCGGGGAUUUCCCCGGCGGACGACGGCAAGGGUGGAAAGGCGGGGUAAGAGCCCACCGGAAUGCAGGAGACUGCAUUGCCAUGUAAACCCUAUCCGAAGCAACAUCAGCUGGAACAAUGCGGCGGCCCGCCGGGUUCCGAAAGAUGGCUCGAGCCGCGCGGCAACGCGCGGCCUAGAUAGAUCGUUGUUCACGACAGAACCCGGCUUACAGAUCCGCUU
RNAcentral lists this RNase P RNA (349 nucleotides) under Anaerotruncus rubiinfantis. Its description in RNAcentral is "Bacterial RNase P class A". It matches the Rfam family "Bacterial RNase P class A". Rfam says of the family: Ribonuclease P (RNase P) is a ubiquitous endoribonuclease, found in archaea, bacteria and eukarya as well as chloroplasts and mitochondria. Its best characterised activity is the generation of mature 5'-ends of tRNAs by cleaving the 5'-leader elements of precursor-tRNAs. The record is from RNAcentral. Lineage: Bacteria; Bacillati; Bacillota; Clostridia; Eubacteriales; Oscillospiraceae.